RNAcentral lists this ribosomal RNA (940 nucleotides) under Salmonella enterica. RNAcentral's name for it is "partial 23S ribosomal RNA". It matches the Rfam family "Bacterial large subunit ribosomal RNA", at positions 1994 to 2925 of the family's 2925-position model. The record is from RNAcentral. Lineage: Bacteria; Pseudomonadati; Pseudomonadota; Gammaproteobacteria; Enterobacterales; Enterobacteriaceae.
GAAUGGCGUAAUGAUGGCCAGGCUGUCUCCACCCGAGACUCAGUGAAAUUGAACUCGCUGUGAAGAUGCAGUGUACCCGCGGCAAGACGGAAAGACCCCGUGAACCUUUACUAUAGCUUGACACUGAACAUUGAGCCUUGAUGUGUAGGAUAGGUGGGAGGCUUUGAAGUGUGGACGCCAGUCUGCAUGGAGCCGACCUUGAAAUACCACCCUUUAAUGUUUGAUGUUCUAACGUGGACCCGUAAUCCGGGUUGCGGACAGUGUCUGGUGGGUAGUUUGACUGGGGCGGUCUCCUCCUAAAGAGUAACGGAGGAGCACGAAGGUUGGCUAAUCCUGGUCGGACAUCAGGAGGUUAGUGCAAUGGCAUAAGCCAGCUUGACUGCGAGCGUGACGGCGCGAGCAGGUGCGAAAGCAGGUCAUAGUGAUCCGGUGGUUCUGAAUGGAAGGGCCAUCGCUCAACGGAUAAAAGGUACUCCGGGGAUAACAGGCUGAUACCGCCCAAGAGUUCAUAUCGACGGCGGUGUUUGGCACCUCGAUGUCGGCUCAUCACAUCCUGGGGCUGAAGUAGGUCCCAAGGGUAUGGCUGUUCGCCAUUUAAAGUGGUACGCGAGCUGGGUUUAGAACGUCGUGAGACAGUUCGGUCCCUAUCUGCCGUGGGCGCUGGAGAACUGAGGGGGGCUGCUCCUAGUACGAGAGGACCGGAGUGGACGCAUCACUGGUGUUCGGGUUGUCAUGCCAAUGGCACUGCCCGGUAGCUAAAUGCGGAAGAGAUAAGUGCUGAAAGCAUCUAAGCACGAAACUUGCCCCGAGAUGAGUUCUCCCUGAGACUUAGAGUCUCCUGAAGGAACGUUGAAGACGACGACGUUGAUAGGCCGGGUGUGUAAGCGCAGCGAUGCGUUGAGCUAACCGGUACUAAUGAACCGUGAGGCUUAACCUUACA